Molecule: ribosomal RNA, 460 nt
Filed under: uncultured bacterium
Lineage: Bacteria
Description: partial 16S ribosomal RNA
Rfam family: Bacterial small subunit ribosomal RNA
Source: RNAcentral
CCUACGGGAGGCAGCAGUGAGGAAUAUUGGUCAAUGGCCGGAAGGCUGAACCAGCCAUGCCGCGUGAAGGUCAGUGCCCUAUGGGCGUUAAACUUCUUUUGUGCGGGAGCAAUAAUGGUCACGUGUGGCCAGACGAGAGUACCGUACGAAUAAGCAUCGGCUAACUCCGUGCCAGCAGCCGCGGUAAUACGGGGGAUGCAAGCGUUAUCCGGAUUUAUUGGGUUUAAAGGGUGCGUAGGCUGUGAGGUAAGUCAGCGGGGAAAUGCCCCCGCUCAAAGGGGUGAAGUGCCAUUGAUACUGCCUUGCUGGAAUGCGGAUGCCGUGGGAGGAAUGUGUGGUGUAGCGGUGAAAUGCAUAGAUAUCACACAGAACACCAAUUGCGAAGGCAUCUCACGAAUCCGCGAUUGACGCUGAUGCACGAAAGCGUGGGUAUCAAACAGGAUUAGAUACCCUUGUAGUC